Molecule: ribosomal RNA, 216 nt
Filed under: Glomeromycotina sp.
Lineage: Eukaryota; Fungi; Glomeromycota
Description: partial small subunit ribosomal RNA
Rfam family: Eukaryotic small subunit ribosomal RNA (bases 44-216)
Source: RNAcentral
GGGUCAGUAGGUUGGUCGUGCCACCGGUACGUACUGGUCUCACUGAUUCCUCCUUCCUGAAGAACCGUAAUGCCAUUAAUUUGGUGUUGCGGGGAAACAGGACUGUCACUUUGAAAAAAUUAGAGUGUUUAAAGCACGCUAACGCUUGAAUACAUUAGCAUGGAAUAAUGAAAUAGGACGAUCGAUCCUAUUUUGUUGGUUUCUAGGAUUGACGUA